UUUUACUGAUUCCUAGAUUUGCUUCAGCUCUUGAGCAGAUAUUACUGUUCAUUAUAUUUCAAUCUAUGAUAUUUUCACUUUUUGAUAUUUCUCUAGAGCUUCUCGUUUUUCCAAAUUCUCUCUUUAAUCCAAUCUUCAUCAUGGUCUCUUUUCCUUUCGUCAUUUUAGUUUCCUUUCUGCUUCUGUUCUAAAAUUAACUCAACCUUAAACUCUGUUCUAAUGUCACGAAAUCCAUUGGAAACUGAAUUGUGACCUUUGAAAUAUAUUUAAGAUUAAAGUCAAUUGUUCCUUCAAAUUUUUCCAAUUAAAAAACAUGUUCCUGCACUUAAUUCCCACAGUUCUUCUCUGUCAUGUCUUACCCUGUUCAAGUCCACAUCUUUUCUCGAAGUUCAGUCAUUUUCCUCUGUUGCUCACAAGUUUUUUGUAAGAAAAAUUUUAUGGGGUUGUAAACUUGUAAUGAGUGUACAUCAAGAUGGGAUUUGGUGCUUUGCCUUUGAGUUCCUGAGUAAGCUAAGCUAAUCUUAGAUUUGUGCUACUUUUGCAGAUUGCUAUCGUAUUAGAACCAUGUACAAGCAUAGCGCAUUCUGAAGUGGUUAUAAGUUCCAUGCCUGACAUGUUUUAGCUAUAUGGAGAUUUAAAACCUUUUUUGCCACUUGAAGAAGCUGCAUCUAAAACAAAUGGCUAAUAUUAUUCAGAAGAGGUAUGAAUGUGAUAGUGUGAAGAGCUAGAGACCUGGAGUACCCAUAUCAUUCUAUUCAACAAUCUGGAAGAAGUUUUUCUCUAAUCUUGGUUCUUAGUCAGAGCAGCUAUGGUGACAUUUAAGGAACUUGACAACCAGAAGCAGAGUGAUCACAGCCUAUGACGUCUCUGCCCUAUUUCACAAGUUGAAGAGAUCAAAUGCAUUUUGAGGCUGCUUCCGGUUUAGUAUGUACCAUUAUUUACUCUGUAGUUUUCACACAAAUGGCAUCUCUUUUUGUCGAGCAAGGUGAUGCAAUGAAAACUGCAAUAGCGAACUUCCAGCAGCAAGCGUGUUUAGCUUUGACAUCCUUAGUAUUUGCAGAAAGCAUAGCCAUCAGCACUAUGGCCAGUCCAAUACACAACCUUUGAAGUUGAGUUAGCCCGGUAAGGUCCCCCUUACUCUUCUUAAACCUAUUGACAAGUUGACCAACAACUCUUCGAUUGAGAAAUAUGACAGCUGCUCUACAGUAAGCAUGUCAAAGCUAGACAUGCUUGCUGCUGGAAUCUAGCUAUUGUAGUUUUCAUUGCACUUCAUUGCUCGACAAAAAUUGAUGCCAUUUGCGUGAACACUACAGAGUAAAUAACGGUACAUACUAAACCUGCAGCAGUCUCAAAGAGCAUUUGAUCUCUUCAGAAGUACUGAUACUACCAUGUUUCCUUGACUCGAAUGUCCCAAACUGGAAAAGAAAAUCACCUACUUAGAAAAUAUCAAGACAAUUCAGUUUUUAGUGAACACUAAGUCUGACGCUUCUUGUCAACUAUAUAGUUUUAUGCUUCUCGUCAACGUAUAUAUAUUUCUAUAAAUGGGGAAAUGGAGGUUGUAUUUAGCUGCAAACUUAUAUGAUGUAAAUUCCUUCUGUAUUUAUGUUUAUAUAAGUCAUACCUUCAAGACUGAUUAUUUUGCAGUGAAGAUUGAUGAUGUUACUGAA
Molecule: long non-coding RNA, 1667 nt
Organism: Lycium ferocissimum
Lineage: Eukaryota; Viridiplantae; Streptophyta; Magnoliopsida; Solanales; Solanaceae
Exons: 3
Source: RefSeq, a predicted model, not a curated record